RNAcentral lists this ribosomal RNA (177 nucleotides) under uncultured bacterium. RNAcentral's name for it is "partial 16S ribosomal RNA". It matches the Rfam family "Bacterial small subunit ribosomal RNA", at positions 335 to 524 of the family's 1533-position model. The record is from RNAcentral.
ACUCCUACGGGAGGCAGCAGUGGGGAAUCUUGCACAAUGGAGGAAACUCUGAUGCAGCGAUGCCGCGUGAGUGAAGAAGGCCUUUGGGUUGUAAACCGCUUUCAGUAGGGAAGAAGCGAAAGUGACGGUACCUACAAAAGAAGCACCGGCUAACUAUGUGCCAGCAGCCGCGGUAAU